This 459-nucleotide ribosomal RNA is filed under the name uncultured bacterium. RNAcentral's name for it is "partial 16S ribosomal RNA". It matches the Rfam family "Bacterial small subunit ribosomal RNA", at positions 338 to 795 of the family's 1533-position model. The record is from RNAcentral.
CCUACGGGAGGCAGCAGUGAGGAAUAUUGGUCAAUGGACGAGAGUCUGAACCAGCCAAGUAGCGUGAAGGAUGACUGCCCUAUGGGUUGUAAACUUCUUUUAUAAAGGAAUAAAACGAGGCACGUGUUCCUUUUUGCAUGUACUUUAUGAAUAAGGAUCGGCUAACUCCGUGCCAGCAGCCGCGGUAAUACGGAGGAUCCGAGCGUUAGCCGGAGUAUUGGGUUUAAAGGGAGCGUAGAUGGGUUGUUAAGUCAGUUGUGAAAGUUUGCGGCUCAACCGUAAAAUUGCAAUUGAUACUGGCAGUCGUGAGUACAGUUGAGGUAGGCGGAAUUCGUGGUGUAGCGGUGAAAUGCGUAGAUAUUAGGAGGAACACCAGUGGCGAAGGCGGCCUGCUGGACGACAACUGACGGUGAGGCGCGAAAGCGUGGGGAGCAAACAGGAUUAGAUACCCCAGUAGUC